RNAcentral lists this ribosomal RNA (432 nucleotides) under uncultured bacterium. Its description in RNAcentral is "partial 16S ribosomal RNA". It matches the Rfam family "Bacterial small subunit ribosomal RNA", at positions 29 to 506 of the family's 1533-position model. The record is from RNAcentral.
AGCGAACGCUGGCGGCAGGCCUAACACAUGCAAGUCGAACGGAUCCUUCGGGAUUAGUGGCGGACGGGUGAGUAACACGUGGGAACGUGCCCUUUGGUUCGGAACAACUCAGGGAAACUUGAGCUAAUACCGGAUGUGCCCUUCGGGGGAAAGAUUUAUCGCCAUUGGAGCGGCCCGCGUCUGAUUAGCUAGUUGGUGAGGUAACGGCCCACCAAGGCGACGAUCAGUAGCUGGUCUGAGAGGAUGAUCAGCCACACUGGGACUGAGACACGGCCCAGACCCCUACGGGAGGCAGCAGUGGGGAAUCUUGCGCAAUGGGCGAAAGCCUGACGCAGCCAGGCCGCGUGAAUGAUGAAGGUCUUAGGAUGGUAAAAUUCUUUCAGCGGGGACGAUAAUGACGGGACCCGCAGAAGAAGCUCCGGCUAACUUCGU